UAAGGUAACAGUCAGUAUGGCCGACGGCGC
RNAcentral lists this small RNA (30 nucleotides) under Bombyx mori (domestic silkworm). RNAcentral describes it as "ovarian small RNA-19322". The record is from RNAcentral. Lineage: Eukaryota; Metazoa; Arthropoda; Insecta; Lepidoptera; Bombycidae.